This 254-nucleotide ribosomal RNA is filed under the name uncultured prokaryote. RNAcentral describes it as "partial 16S ribosomal RNA". It matches the Rfam family "Bacterial small subunit ribosomal RNA", at positions 524 to 776 of the family's 1533-position model. The record is from RNAcentral.
UACGUAGGCAGCAAGCGUUGUUCGGAGUUACUGGGCGUAAAGAGUCUGUAGGCGGUGCUCUAAGUUUGGUGUGAAAUCUCCCGGCUUAACCGGGAGGGUGCGCCGAAGACUGGGGUGCUGGGAGUACGGGAGAGGAAAGCGGAAUUCCUGGUGUAGCGGUGAAAUGCGUAGAUAUCAGGAGGAACACCUGUGGCGAAAGCGGCUCACUGGACCAUAACUGACGCUGAGGCGCGAAAGCUAGGGGAGCAAACAGG